Molecule: ribosomal RNA, 393 nt
Filed under: uncultured bacterium
Lineage: Bacteria
Description: bacterial SSU rRNA
Rfam family: Bacterial small subunit ribosomal RNA
Source: RNAcentral
UAUUGCACAAUGGGGGAAACCCUGAUGCAGCAACGCCGCGUGAGUGAAGAAGUAUUUCGGUAUGUAAAGCUCUAUCAGCAGGGAAGAGAAUGACGGUACCUGACUAAGAAGCCCCGGCUAACUACGUGCCAGCAGCCGCGGUAAUACGUAGGGGGCGAGCGUUAUCCGGAGUUACGGGGUGUAAAGGGAGCGUAGACGGUUCUGCAAGUCUGAAGUGAAAGCCCGUGGGUUAACCGCGGAGCGGCUUUGGAAACUGUGGAACUGGAGUGCUGGAGAGGCAGGCGGAAUUCCUAGUGUGGCGGUGAAAUGCGUAGAUAUUAGGAGAAACACCAGUGGCGAAGGCGGCUUGCUGGACAGUAACUGACGUUGAGGCUCGAAAGCGUGGGGAGCAAA